This is a long non-coding RNA of Herpailurus yagouaroundi (jaguarundi), 2458 nucleotides long. RefSeq lists it as uncharacterized. NCBI's taxonomy places the organism in Eukaryota, Metazoa, Chordata, Mammalia, Carnivora, Felidae. The record is from RefSeq and is a predicted model, not a curated record. The transcript is spliced from 2 exons.
UUCAGGUGUAAAACAUAGUGAUUUGACAGCUGGAUAUGUUAUGCUGUGCUCACCAGAAAUGUAGCUACCAUCUGUCCCCGUACAACACUAUUACAAUAGGAUCGACUAUCUUCCCUAUGCUGCACCUUUCAUCCCCUGGAAGAUUCUUAUGUCUUAUAAAGUAGAUGUCAUCAUUCAACUUUAAUGGAAAAUAAACCUCAAUAUAGCUGGAAUUACAAGUUGGGAAGACAUGUAGAUUUCAUUUUUAGAUGAAUCCGACUCUGAACCAACUCUUUGAAACUCCUAAAUGAUGGGUGAGACAGGAGAAAUCUAUUAAAUAACUAUGAAGAUACAAACUAAUGUGUGAGUAAUAUUGAAAUGCAGAGACAGGACAAGAGUGAGUAUUUAAAAUAAGGUUUUACUCUUUCUCUAAAAUUUUUAAGGAAGAAAAUCCUUUUUGAGCAUUCUUUGUGUAUAAACUACUGAGCCAUGUCAAGCGAAUCCUUCUAGUCAAUCUAGCUUAAAAAGUUUGAAGCAUGCUCAAGAGCUUUGUUGCUGUUAUAAGUCAGCCAGAGUCUGACUAUUACACUUCCAGAUGAAGACUCCCCACAGAGCAUUGUAGUCUACGGACUUUUAAUUUGUCUGCAACCACCUUUCCUUCCCACCUGCUUGUCAUUUGUAGAUUUGGAAGAUUGUUGUUGUUGUUGUUGUUGUUGUUGUUGUUGUUGUUUUUAUGCUAGUGAUAUUUUGUUUACAGAUUUUAAGUCAAAACAAUGCAAAAGUCUGUCGGCUUUACUUUCAAUAGAGCUAAAACUGAUUUCAUCUCAUUAUUGAUAUCUUUUUCUAGGUAUGACUUAGACCUGCUAUUCUAUUCCUGUGAUUAUGAGAGAGGUAUGAAUGUGAAUCUGUCCAAGACAUAGUGUCAAGAUCCUACUUUAAUUCCUUCCAGAUGACUCACCUACUGGUAUUUGGUCAAUCAGCAUCUCCAAGUGUAUCUCCUUGGUGAUGGUUCAGUAAUAUUUCAUUUUUGAUGACACAGUCAAAAAGUCCUGGGUGCCCCAUAGACUGGCAUCUUCCUUGCUCCAGCCAAUAUUCCUAUUUCAUGGAUUUUUUUUGAGACCUAAUUGCUAAUGACAAUGACCCCUCCCCACCUUCUUUAUGAAGAAUACAUCAUUUCUCUGUUGGAAACUUCAGUUUUAAAAUGCUGCUACAUGGAGACUGCUAUCUAGAGCAUCAGAGCAGAAUAUGCUUUUGAGAAAACUGGCCUCAUCUCCUCCAGGAAGACAUUCUUAUCCUGUCCCUGUAUGAGUAAGCAAAUGCAAGCAAAUAUCUAUAGGAAAUACACUAAAAGUCUAUUUGUAUGAUACCAAGAAAUCUAUUUUAACUGACUUUUCAUCCUGGACUAAAUAUUAAGCUUAGAAUCAUAUGAAUAGAAGCACCAGAGUGACCCAACCCCAAAUCACACAGGCACAUGUGCAGAUGCAUACAAACUCAUACUCACAUGUGCAUAAAUUGCUUAACAGAAGGCAUUGGAAUAUAUUAGCUUUUUUCAUUAGGGAAAGGAGCUGAUAUCAUUGAGCAUCUACUGAGCAUGUCUCAGGCUUGCUGUUUUUGUUUCUCCUAAAAGAUGACUUUCCUCUGAACAGGCAAUUUCAUCGGACUUUAUUUCAUCAGACUAUCAUCCAAGACUAAACCUGGACAUGAAUUAAGUGAAAGUGUAAAUAUUCUUUCAAAUAUAUUUAUAUGUAAGAAAAUAUCUUGUUCUUCUGAACACUUUCUUGAGAUCAUGUUUCAAGUAUGGAAAAACUGAUGCUUCUGGCAUCACAGUGGGGCUCAGGUGUGGUGUUGAGCUGCUUGAUGUGGCUUUUUCCUCACAGAAACAAGCCGAGGUUUGGCAUUUCAGAGCUGCAGUGAGAAGCCAAUAGUGGCUUCAUAAAUGAAAACUACUGAGGAAUUCGUUUAAGGGAACAAACGGCUCUUCCUAUUCUUAAGGAUCUCACAGUCCAGUGAGGAAAUACAAAACCAAUGUGAUAUCUCAAGAUAUAAAUGUAGGCAAUAUUUAGAAUAUGAAUUGGAGAUGUCAGAAAUGUUUUUUUAAGAAGCAGUUGUUAGAAUAGUUUAUGUAUUGUGAUUCUAUUUUAUGAAUUAUAUUUAGAAGUAUCAAUUAAUUUAAAUGUUAAUUUCAUUGAUUACACAGGGGGGAAAAGGUCAGAUAAGGCCCUGUAAUUUUUUGUUUAUAUGUUUGGUCUAUAAGAAUAAUCUCAAAUCACUCAGCAGAAGAUCUCAUUUACAAAGUUGCACAUUGGGGAAUAGUUUUGUUUCUGAGAUGGUUAGCUAUCUGAUGUAAUAUAAAUCUUGAUGGUUCUAAUUCUAAUAUUCAAAUAAUCUCUUUUGAAAAGAGUAGCUGUAAAUAUUUGUCUACAGUGUUGUUAGGCCUAUUUACAUUCUUCUACACCAAAUACAUUCAUGGAAAAUCCAA